This 275-nucleotide ribosomal RNA is filed under the name uncultured Rhodobacterales bacterium. RNAcentral's name for it is "partial 16S ribosomal RNA". It matches the Rfam family "Bacterial small subunit ribosomal RNA", at positions 505 to 781 of the family's 1533-position model. Lineage: Bacteria; Pseudomonadati; Pseudomonadota; Alphaproteobacteria; Rhodobacterales. The record is from RNAcentral.
GUGCCAGCAGCCGCGGUAAUACGGAGGGGGCUAGCGUUGUUCGGAAUUACUGGGCGUAAAGCGCACGUAGGCGGAUCAGAAAGUUGAGGGUGAAAUCCCGGGGCUCAACUCGGAACUGCCUUCAAAACUAUUGGUCUUGAGUUCGAGAGAGGUGAGUGGAAUUCCGAGUGUAGAGGUGAAAUUCGUAGAUAUUCGGAGGAACACCAGUGGCGAAGCGGCUCACUGGCUCGAUACUGACGCUGAGGUGCGAAAGCGUGGGGAGCAAACAGGAUUAG